UGGGGAAUAUUGGACAAUGGGCGAAAGCCUGAUCCAGCCAUGCCGCGUGUGUGAAGAAGGUCUUCGGAUUGUAAAGCACUUUAAGUUGGGAGGAAGGGCAGUAAGCGAAUACCUUGCUGUUUUGACGUUACCGACAGAAUAAGCACCGGCUAACUCUGUGCCAGCAGCCGCGGUAAUACAGAGGGUGCAAGCGUUAAUCGGAAUUACUGGGCGUAAAGCGCGCGUAGGUGGUUCGUUAAGUUGAAUGUGAAAGCCCCGGGCUCAACCUGGGAACUGCAUCCACAACUGGCGAGCUAGAGUAGGGCAGAGGGUGGUGGAAUUUCCUGUGUAGCGGUGAAAUGCGUAGAUAUAGGAAGGAACACCAGUGGCGAAGGCGAGCACCUGGGCUCAUACUGACACUGAGGUGCGAAAGCGUGGGGAGCAAACAGG
This 429-nucleotide ribosomal RNA is filed under the name Pseudomonadota bacterium. RNAcentral describes it as "Proteobacteria bacterium partial 16S ribosomal RNA". It matches the Rfam family "Bacterial small subunit ribosomal RNA", at positions 355 to 776 of the family's 1533-position model. Lineage: Bacteria; Pseudomonadati; Pseudomonadota. The record is from RNAcentral.